UCGAGCGAAUGGAUUGAGAGCUUGCUCUCAAGAAGUUAGCGGCGGACGGGUGAGUAACACGUGGGUAACCUGCCCAUAAGACUGGGAUAACUCCGGGAAACCGGGGCUAAUACCGGAUAAUAUUUUGAACUGCAUGGUUCGAAAUUGAAAGGCGGCUUCGGCUGUCACUUAUGGAUGGACCCGCGUCGCAUUAGCUAGUUGGUGAGGUAACGGCUCACCAAGGCAACGAUGCGUAGCCGACCUGAGAGGGUGAUCGGCCACACUGGGACUGAGACACGGCCCAGACUCCUACGGGAGGCAGCAGUAGGGAAUCUUCCGCAAUGGACGAAAGUCUGACGGAGCAACGCCGCGUGAGUGAUGAAGGCUUUCGGGUCGUAAAACUCUGUUGUUAGGGAAGAACAAGUGCUAGUUGAAUAAGCUGGCACCUUUGACGUUACCUAACCAGAAAGCCACGGCUAACUACGUGCCAGCAGCCGCGGUAAUACGUAGGUGGCAAGCGUUAUCCGGAAUUAUUGGGCGUAAACUCGCCCAGUUGGUUUCUUAAGUCUGAUGUGAAAGCCCACGGUUCCACC
This 572-nucleotide ribosomal RNA is filed under the name Bacillus thuringiensis. Its description in RNAcentral is "bacterial SSU rRNA". It matches the Rfam family "Bacterial small subunit ribosomal RNA", at positions 62 to 614 of the family's 1533-position model. The record is from RNAcentral. Lineage: Bacteria; Bacillati; Bacillota; Bacilli; Caryophanales; Bacillaceae.